RNAcentral lists this ribosomal RNA (492 nucleotides) under uncultured bacterium. RNAcentral's name for it is "partial 16S ribosomal RNA". It matches the Rfam family "Bacterial small subunit ribosomal RNA", at positions 28 to 507 of the family's 1533-position model. The record is from RNAcentral.
GAUGAACGCUAGCUACAGGCUUAACACAUGCAAGUCGAGGGGAAACGACAUCGAAAGCUUGCUUUUGAUGGGCGUCGACCGGCGCACGGGUGAGUAACGCGUAUCCAACCUGCCCAUCACUUGGGAAUAACCUUGCGAAAGUAAGACUAAUACCCAAUGAUAUCCCACGAAGGCAUCGGAAUGGGAUUAAAGAUUUAUCGGUGAUGGAUGGGGAUGCGUCUGAUUAGCUUGUUGGCGGGGUAACGGCCCACCAAGGCAACGAUCAGUAGGGGUUCUGAGAGGAAGGUCCCCCACAUUGGAACUGAGACACGGUCCAAACUCCUACGGGAGGCAGCAGUGAGGAAUAUUGGUCAAUGGGCGAGAGCCUGAACCAGCCAAGUAGCGUGCAGGAAGACGGCCCUAUGGGUUGUAAACUGCUUUUAUAAGGGAAUAAAGUGGGUCACGUGUGACUUUUUGCGUGUACCUUAUGAAUAAGGACCGGCUAAUUCCGUG